UCUGGGCAUGGUGGCACAUGCCUGUAGUCCCAGCUACUCAGAAGAUUGAGGCAGGAGAGUCUCUUGAGCCCAGGAUUCAAGAUCAGCCUGGGCAACAUGUUGAGACCCCGUCUAAA
RNAcentral lists this small RNA (116 nucleotides) under Marmota monax (woodchuck). The record is from RNAcentral. Lineage: Eukaryota; Metazoa; Chordata; Mammalia; Rodentia; Sciuridae.